Long non-coding RNA from Carassius gibelio (silver crucian carp), 308 nucleotides. RefSeq lists it as uncharacterized. The transcript is spliced from 3 exons. The record is from RefSeq and is a predicted model, not a curated record. NCBI's taxonomy places the organism in Eukaryota, Metazoa, Chordata, Actinopteri, Cypriniformes, Cyprinidae.
GCCCACCUCUGUUAGAAUCUUUCUGUGAAGUGAGUUGUAUGCUUCUUUGGGUUCGAGUGCUCGAGUAGCUGGCGUAACAGGUGAUUGUGUCUCCGUCACUCCAGUCAGGUUUACACAGACGCAGCUCACUGUUCGUGGCAUUAGAUGUGAAUGGAUGAAGUGACCCAUGACCGUCUCUGCUCCAGGUGAAGUUCACCAGCUCAGACGUCAGACCCUCCAUAGAGCAGAGCAGAUGGAUACAGCUGUCAUUACUGCUGUUCAGUGUCUGCAGAUGUGGACGAGCUGCAGUGGAGGGAGAUGAUAUGAUG